AAACAUAACCUUUAGCCAAACAAGUAUUAAAGGCAACGCCUGCCCAGUGAAUAAUUAAACGGCCGCGGUAUCCUAACCGUGCAAAGGUAGCAUAAUCAUUUGUCUAUUAAUUGUAGACCUGUAUGAAAGGCAAAAUGAGAGCCCAACUGUCUCUUAUAACAAAUCAAUUAAACUGAUCUUCUAGUCCAAAAGCUAGAAUAUUAACAUAAGACCAGAAGACCCUGUGAAGCUUUAACUAACCUAUUAAACCCAAUAAUAACUACUUUCGGUUGGGGCGACCUUGGAAUAAAAAAGAACUUCCAAUAUAUGACUUCUCAUAAACAAGGCAAACAAGCCACACUAGACCCAGUAUUACUGAUAAUUGAAAUAAGUUACUCCAGGGAUAACAGCGCUAUCUUCUUUUAGAGCCCAUAUCAAAAAGAAGGUUUACGACCUCGAUGUUGGAUCAGGACAUCCCAGUAAUGCAACCGUUACUAAAGGUUCGUUUGUUCAACGAUUAACAGUCCUACGU
Molecule: ribosomal RNA, 511 nt
Filed under: Gloydius huangi (Lancang Plateau viper)
Lineage: Eukaryota; Metazoa; Chordata; Lepidosauria; Squamata; Viperidae
Description: partial 16S ribosomal RNA
Rfam family: Bacterial large subunit ribosomal RNA
Source: RNAcentral